Molecule: ribosomal RNA, 1462 nt
Filed under: uncultured bacterium
Lineage: Bacteria
Description: bacterial SSU rRNA
Rfam family: Bacterial small subunit ribosomal RNA
Source: RNAcentral
GACGAACGCUGGCGGCGUGCUUAACACAUGCAAGUCGAACGAUGAAGCUCUUCGGAGCGGAUUAGUGGCGAACGGGUGAGUAACACGUGGAUAAUCUGCCUUGCACUUCGGGAUAAGCCUGGGAAACUGGGUCUAAUACCGGAUAUGACUUAAGAAAGCAUUUUCUUAAGUGGAAAGUUUUUUCGGUGCAAGAUGAGUCCGCGGCCUAUCAGUUUGUUGGUGAGGUAAAAGCUCACCAAGACGAUGACGGGUAGCCGGCCUGAGAGGGCGAACGGCCACACUGGGACUGAGAUACGGCCCAGACUCCUACGGGAGGCAGCAGUGGGGAAUAUUGCACAAUGGGCGAAAGCCUGAUGCAGCGACGCCGCGUGGGGGAUGAAGGUCUUCGGAUUGUAAACCCCUUUCGGCAGGGACGAAGCGCAAGUGACGGUACCUGCAGAAGAAGCACCGGCCAACUACGUGCCAGCAGCCGCGGUAAUACGUAGGGUGCGAGCGUUGUCCGGAAUUACUGGGCGUAAAGAGCUUGUAGGCGGCCUAUUGCGUCGUGGGUGGAAUUUCACAGCUCAACUGUGAAAUUGCCCACGAUACGGGUAGGCUAGAGUGUUUCAGGGGAGAUUGGAACUCCUAGUGUAGCGGUGGAAUGCAUAGAUAUUAGGAAGAACACCAAUGGCGAAGGCAGAUCUCUGGGAAACAACUGACGCUGAGAAGCGAAAGCGUGGGGAGCAAACAGGCUUAGAUACCCUGGUAGUCCACGCUGUAAACGGUGGGUACUAGGUGUAGGUUUCGUUCCACGAAAUCUGUGCCGUAGCUAACGCAUUAAGUACCCCGCCUGGGGAGUACGGUCGCAAGGCUAAAACUCAAAGGAAUUGACGGGGGCCCGCACAAGCGGCGGAGCAUGUGGAUUAAUUCGAUGCAACGCGAAGAACCUUACCUGGGAUUGAUAUUUACUGGAAAGCUGUAGAGAUACAGCCCCCCUUGUGGUCAGUAAACAGGUGGUGCAUGGCUGUCGUCAGCUCGUGUCGUGAGAUGUUGGGUUAAGUCCCGCAACGAGCGCAACCCUUGUCUCAUGUUGCCAGCACGUAAUGGUGGGGACUCGUGAGAGACUGCCGGGGUCAACUCGGAGGAAGGUGGGGACGACGUCAAGUCAUCAUGCCCUUCGGCCCAGGGCUUCACACAUGCUACAAUGGUCGAUACAGAGGGUCGCGAUACCGUAAGGUGGAGCUAAUCUCUUAAAGUCGACCUCAGUUCGGAUUGGGGUCUGCAACUCGACCCCAUGAAGUCGGAGUCGCUAGUAAUCGCAGAUCAGCAACGCUGCGGUGAAUACGUUCCCGGGCCUUGUACACACCGCCCGUCACGUCAUGAAAGUCGGCAACACCCGAAGCUGGUAGUCUAACCCUUUAUGGGAGGACGCUGUCUAAGGUGGGGUCGGCGAUUGGGACGAAGUCGUAACAAGGUACCCGUA